RNAcentral lists this unclassified non-coding RNA (221 nucleotides) under Hevea brasiliensis (rubber tree). Lineage: Eukaryota; Viridiplantae; Streptophyta; Magnoliopsida; Malpighiales; Euphorbiaceae. The record is from RNAcentral.
GGGAAACCCAAGUGCUAUUAUGGACUAAAUAUAAUUAUUAGGUACACUAUGAACAGAAAAUUCGAUACAAGCCAAAUUAUCAUUUUGAAUUGCAGCAAACUUUGAAGACUAGAUUCACAAAAUGCAAAUGAUACACUUUUUCAUGAAUGAGUAAACAACCCGACAUCCAAAUUAGAAUCAAAAUGUCAUGUGGAACAUAUACCUGUCGAAAGGAAGUAGCA